AUGCUCCUCCUUCCGUCGCAGCUAACCGUGAUUUUUUCGCUCACAAUUUCUCUUCUCCGUGUAGAUCUUCCCUUGGUGGCGCUUGCAUCUUCACAUGGCAUAAGAUCGAAGGAUCCUAUGAACCCAGGCCGUCAUGAACGGUCAUCCACCCCGCCGGAGAUUGGUAUUGCUUGCAUGUUCACAGGACCAUGGACCGAGGAUUUCCUGAACACGAUGAACAUCCUAGGUUUUCGAUGUUUGUUUUCCUCGCUCUACGCGGGGAGAUCUCAUUCUGACCCUGCCCUAGCUCUGUUCUCUACAAACCCUGACCUACUGCUGCCGUUUUGGGGCUGCUACCGAAGUUUCUGUUCAUGA
RNAcentral lists this ribosomal RNA (354 nucleotides) under Triticum aestivum (bread wheat). RNAcentral describes it as "partial small subunit ribosomal RNA". The record is from RNAcentral. Lineage: Eukaryota; Viridiplantae; Streptophyta; Magnoliopsida; Poales; Poaceae.